GCGGAUGUAGCCAAGGGGAUCAAGGCAGG
RNAcentral lists this transfer RNA (29 nucleotides) under Trophis caucana. RNAcentral describes it as "partial tRNA-His". The record is from RNAcentral. Lineage: Eukaryota; Viridiplantae; Streptophyta; Magnoliopsida; Rosales; Moraceae.